This 471-nucleotide ribosomal RNA is filed under the name uncultured organism. RNAcentral describes it as "partial 16S ribosomal RNA". It matches the Rfam family "Bacterial small subunit ribosomal RNA", at positions 334 to 797 of the family's 1533-position model. The record is from RNAcentral.
CACUCCUGCGGGAGGCAGCAGUGGGGAAUUUUGGACAAUGGGCGAAAGCCUGAUCCAGCAAUGCCGCGUGAGUGAAGAAGGCCUUCGGGUUGUAAAGCUCUUUUGUCAGGGAAGAAACGGUGAAAGCUAAUAUCUUUUGCUAAUGACGGUACCUGAAGAAUAAGCACCGGCUAACUACGUGCCAGCAGCCGCGGUAAUACGUAGGGUGCAAGCGUUAAUCGGAAUUACUGGGCGUAAAGCGUGCGCAGGCGGUUUUGUAAGUCUGAUGUGAAAUCCCCGGGCUCAACCUGGGAAUUGCAUUGGAGACUGCAAGGCUAGAAUCUGGCAGAGGGGGGUAGAAUUCCACGUGUAGCAGUGAAAUGCGUAGAUAUGUGGAGGAACACCGAUGGCGAAGGCAGCCCCCUGGGUCAAGAUUGACGCUCAUGCACUAAAGCGUGGGGAGCAAACAGGAUUAGAAACCCGUGUAGUCCC